RNAcentral lists this ribosomal RNA (778 nucleotides) under uncultured bacterium. RNAcentral's name for it is "bacterial SSU rRNA". It matches the Rfam family "Bacterial small subunit ribosomal RNA", at positions 10 to 804 of the family's 1533-position model. The record is from RNAcentral.
AGUUUGAUCCUGGCUCAGGACGAACGCUGGCGGCGUGCUUAACACAUGCAAGUCGAACGAUGAUGACCUUCGGGUUUGGAUUAGUGGCGAACGGGUGAGUAACACGUGAGUAACCUGCCCUUCACUGUGGGAUAACCUUCGGAAACGUGGGCUAAUACCGCAUAGGAGCUCCUGCCGCAUGGUGGGGGUUUGAAAGAUUUUUUGGUGGGGGAUGGGCUCGCGGCCUAUCAGCUUGAUGGUGGGGUGAUGGCCUACCAUGGCUUCGACGGGUAGCCGGCCUGAGAGGGCGACCGGCCACACUGGGACUGAGACACGGCCCAGACUCCUACGGGAGGCAGCAGUGGGGAAUAUUGCACAAUGGGCGGAAGCCUGAUGCAGCAACGCCGCGUGCGGGAUGACGGCCUUCGGGUUGUAAACCGCUUUCACCUGUGACGAAGUUUUUUUGACGGUAGCAGGAGAAGAAGCACCGGCUAACUACGUGCCAGCAGCCGCGGUGAUACGUAGGGUGCGAGCGUUGUCCGGAUUUAUUGGGCGUAAAGAGCUCGUAGGUGGUUUGUUGCGUCGGAAGUGAAAACACGGGGCUUAACUUCGUGCUUGCUUUCGAUACGGGCAGACUUGAGGAAGGUAGGGGAGAACGGAAUUCCUGGUGGAGCGGUGGGAUGCGCAGAUAUCAGGAGGAACACCGGUGGCGAAGGCGGUUCUCUGGACCUUUCCUGACGCUGAGGAGCGAAAGCGUGGGGAGCAAACAGGAUUAGAUACCCUGGUAGUCCAAUCCCGC